CACGGUUACAAGAGGAUACUUUAUCGACUCAACGGGUGACUUUUAAUUUGCCUACUAUUAACAAAGUGAUGGUAUUUUGCCUUAAACAUGGAAAUGUUUAAUUACCCAGUGUUCUUCGAGCUGGACAAUUUUGAUCCAGUACAAAAAGAAAAGACAGAAAAGUACUUUAAGGUUCGUCGGAAGUCUGGUGGUGGAGACUGCAGCUCUAUAAACCAAGUUCGUGAUAACGUUUACAAGAUUGCAUUUAAAGACCGGGCAGCCCAGGAGAGAGUACUUCAGAAAGCCCAUCAUGUGUUGGAGCUACCUGGGGGAACUCGCUCUCUCAAAGUAAGAGGCAGCCUGGAUCCUUCAACCACAACACACUGCUCUGACAUCGGACAGUUGGCAUCACCACCUGAUGGCCCAGAGCAUGAACUUCAUCUAGAUUCUUACCUCCUGCGCUACCUAAAGGAGAGCCCUGGGGCUGGACGAGACCUUCAGCAAAAGCUGUCCUCUUUGCGCUGCUCUGUCCAGCUCCUUUCAGAGGAGGGGAGAGCAGUAGUUAGAGGCUCAGGCCAAGCUGAGUCAUGCAGAGCUGGGGUUGAGGAUGGUAUUGAGCUGGGACGAUGGAAGUUAGAGGUAGAGAAACUGUUUGAACAGCUCGUGGACCGGUACAAAUGCCACUAUGAAGUAGACCCACGUAAGGUCCACACUCUGCUGCAGAGCAGUACCCUGGGUUCAGAGGAUGUGAGGAUGUACGGGGAGGGGGGAGAAGGGUUUGUUGUGGUGGUUGGGGAGGGUUCUGAGGUUCAGGCCAAGCUGAAGGAGAUUGAGGCCAACCUGGUUCAGCAUCUGAGCUCAACAAAGCAGGCAAAGAUCAGAACCGUAUGUCGACUGGGACAGGCUAAGCUCCGCCUUCUUGGGGAAGUGAUAGAGAAGGAGUUAGGUGAGUUUGUGCCAGGGGUGAAGGUAACACGCGGUGACUCAUCUCAGUUGGUGCUGGAGGGCUCGGCAAAUGAAGUCUGGACAGCCAGGCAGUU
Long non-coding RNA from Esox lucius (northern pike), 1019 nucleotides. Lineage: Eukaryota; Metazoa; Chordata; Actinopteri; Esociformes; Esocidae. The record is from Ensembl.